Oryctolagus cuniculus (rabbit) is the source of this 1710-nucleotide long non-coding RNA. RefSeq lists it as uncharacterized. The record is from RefSeq and is a predicted model, not a curated record. NCBI's taxonomy places the organism in Eukaryota, Metazoa, Chordata, Mammalia, Lagomorpha, Leporidae.
GGUAACUUACGGGCCCUGAGGAUAAAGUGGUGAGGAAGUAUCCACAAGUGUGCAUCCCUGGAACAUCAAGACCUGGAAGAUAGGAAGCUGGCAGUUACAACUCACUGUAACAGAUUCCCUGGGCUUGUUCCACUUUGAUGGUCUCCUGUAUUCUAUUUGAGUGGUUCUAGAAAAGUUAAGUGGCACACCAGGAAAAACCGGCACAGUGACUGCAUUGAGCAAUCUGAUCUGGUGGGCACCAUAGAUGUGUAAGUGGACACACAUGAAAUCCCCUGUGAUAGUCUGUUGUCAGCGUAUCUUUCUCUGGCUACCUUUAGGCUGCAGUUGGCUAGAACAUAGGAAAAAGGCUUAAUACCUCACAGACUAAGAGGCUUAACAAGUAAAAAAGCAAAACUACCCUACUUUCGUGAGAAUAUAGACAAUGGCUAUAAGUAAUCAUUGAAUCGAAAAAUGAGCACUUCAUCUAUCCACAGUACAUUUUAAAGUGAUCAUGGAUCAUUCAACCUGCAGUAGAAGAACAUUCUCAACCAUUGGUUUCACUAAGGUAUAAAACAAAGUUUUACAAGACUGGGUUGGCGGCAAUGACAGUGUGACUGGAUUCAACGGAUCAUCAUGUUCACUGCCUCAAAAAUGCUUGUAUUUCUGUGGAGGUUGAUGAUAUUUAGUCAUUCAGAAAGAUUUGCAGGAAAACCCAUGGUUUGAGGGAGCCUUGCAGAGGCCCGCCCUAGGCACCUCGACAGCGUUCUAGACAUCUACACAGCAGAGCUGUAUGCUUUUUCAUAAGGCCAUGGGAUUCUCAGGACUUUUGUUUUGCACUCUAAGAAUUGAGAUGGGAAGCAAUAUGGAUGAUUUAGCUAAAGACACUAAUAACAAACACAGAUCUACAAGUACCUUAAAAUGUCCAGAAGAAUCUCCAGCAAAAUGAAAGUCUAGAAGUGUUUUGGAGCAUGUAUGACUUACAGUUCCACGUGUACCAGCAACUUUGGGGGUGUUGGUAUUGGUGCCUGCUUCAUCAGCUCCUCGUACAAUAAAUGACUGGUUUGCUCUGCCAUCAUCAAUCCUUCCACAGCCGUGUCAGACAACAGCAUGCCUCACUGUUGCUCUAAAGUCAGGAGCGACUCCUGUUUUUGACUUGUGGUAAGUGCUGAAGUCUGGGUAAGCAGCCCACGAGGCCCUAACUCAUCUCUGCACACUCCUCAGCCCCUGUGCACCUGCUGAUCUUUGCCCCACCUUCAUCCUACUCCAUGCCAGCCUUGGUGUCCUCCUUUGCCCUGGGAUGCAUUAGGCAUUUUCUGCCUCAGACAUUUGCACAUGCUCUUCCUUCUGUGUAAACUAUUUUCCUAGAUCCGCAUGUGUUCAAUGCACUCAACGUGCUUCUGAGGUUUAUAGAAGCAUCAACUUCUCCAGUCUACUUAGCAUAAAAAACUGAAGGUGGUCAGGCUAUCUGUUGAAUUCCUUACUGUAGAGUUAAUCUUAUGUGUAGAAAGUUAAUUGCAAAUAGCGCUUAGUAAAAAAUAAUGGGAAUAGGAGAGGGAGGAGGAAGAUGGGUGGGAGUGCAGAUGGGAGAGUGGGUAUGUUGGGAACGAUUACUAUGUUCCUAAAGUUGUAUGUAUGAAAUGUAUCGUUUGUAUACCUUAAAUAAAAGGGUUUCUAGGAAAAAAAGUUGCUCCCUACUGCUGCUCUUCUGAUCACACUCCUUCUGCUCUGCUU